Molecule: ribosomal RNA, 420 nt
Filed under: uncultured bacterium
Lineage: Bacteria
Description: bacterial SSU rRNA
Rfam family: Bacterial small subunit ribosomal RNA
Source: RNAcentral
GAGGAAUAUUGGACAAUGGGCGCAAGCCUGAUCCAGCCAUGCCGCGUGCAGGAUGACGGUCCUAUGGAUUGUAAACUGCUUUUGUACAGGAAGAAACACUGGUUCGUGAACCAGCUUGACGGUACUGUAAGAAUAAGGAUCGGCUAACUCCGUGCCAGCAGCCGCGGUAAUACGGAGGAUCCAAGCGUUAUCCGGAAUCAUUGGGUUUAAAGGGUCCGUAGGCGGUUUGGUAAGUCAGUGGUGAAAGCCCAUCGCUCAACGGUGGAACGGCCAUUGAUACUGCCAGACUUGAAUUACUGGGAAGUAACUAGAAUAUGUAGUGUAGCGGUGAAAUGCUUAGAGAUUACAUGGAAUACCAAUUGCGAAGGCAGGUUACUACCAGUGGAUUGACGCUGAUGGACGAAAGCGUGGGUAGCGAAC